GUAGGGUUCCCUUGGGACUGUCAGGAGCUGCUCUGUCCUGCUGCAUAGCCUGGUGUAAUUGCACAAGUCCUGGAGACCUGCAAUUUGGAAUGGGGGAUGUAGUUGUGUUCUAGAUGGUAUUCCUAGAUUCACACAGGAUGCUUGGACCUGUUAAGUUAUCCUGCAGUUGUUUGAAUUUUCUCCUAACUUUCUUUCAGAUGCAGACAUUUAAGAUCUGUGGCAGAGCGCCCCUCCUGGAUCAGGAGGUUUUCCCUGAGAAGGAAGUCCAGGCAGAUAGCUGCAGUCAAGGCCAAGUGUGUCAGGCAGUCCUCUUGCGAGAUGUCUCUGAUCCCAGAUGUCUGAGGCCAGGUGUCAUUGCUGCCCUAGGCGUGUGAAGGAACCGAGUCAAGCGGGUAUCCUCCUGGCAGCCUUUUGAGUCGCAUCAAGAUUUUAGGUACCGUGAGGAGGCGCAUAGCUGAAGUUUGGAAACGGCAGCACCGAAGCGGAUGUAGAGAACAUGUCGCCGUCCACGUCCGGCUGACGAUGGAUUUUGUCCGGUCGUCUUGCAAAAGCUAAGUGUCGGGGCCAGUAGGUGGGAGAAGGGGAAAAACCUUUACUAUCACAGGAGACAAUUUUAUGUUAGCUUAGAGGAGAGGCCCAUAGUGGGACGGGCCCCUUGGAAGCAGAGGGAGAGGGUUUCUCCUCAGCCUCACCAGAGUCUUCGCCGGGCAGGGCAGUUCCGAUCCAUCUUCGCGUCCUCGCGAGGUUUGCGUCGGCGGCCUUCUUCGACUCUCGAUGUCGUCGUGGAUCUUUUCACCCGAGGAGCCCGCCUUCACGUCCGGAGCUCUAGCCACGGUCACGCCAUAGUCAUCGCUUUCUUGUCUAGGCCUACUGAGCUUCUUAGGCUUCCUCUUAAGUCCUUUGGCACUAACAUCUUGAAAGGAGUUAAAUUUCAUCAUCACAUGCUAUUGCCCUAGGGCUUUCUUUCCUUUGGCAUCAUCGGCCUAUGACUCAUCUUGGACUAGCAAUCUUGGGUCCAUAAGGUGGAACUGCCAGGCAGUUUCCACUCGUGUCCGUGUUAUGUCGUCCGUGUCCGUGUUAUGUCGUCCGUGUCUGUGUUAUGUCGUCCGUGUCCAUUGAUUUCUGCGUCAUAGGCCUUUGUUACAUCUCGAGGCUUUAUCGGCAUUGUUCUCUGCCGUAUCGGCCAUAUUUUACUCGUGUACCUUCCCGGCUAUCGCUUAUUCCGGCAUCGUUACAUUUUUACUUUUUGAGAUGGGAAGAAGUACAGGAGACGUUCUCAUCCAUCUUCCUUCUCACCUUUGGUAGCGCCUUCUCUUCCCGUGCCAUUCUCUCGGACUUCUAGAGGGAGCAUAUUAGACCCUCAUCACCUGACCGCAGUAGUUCCGUAGCUUGCGCCUUCUCAAAGGGUAUAGGGCUCAACAAUUAAUCUUCCGGAGAGUUACGUCAAGUCCUCACUUAUAUUGUAUCUAUGUCGGCUUAUAUUGUUCGUGCUUAGGUUGUACCUACCUAUGUUGGCUUAUACUGUAUGUGCUUAUAUUGUAUGUACUUAUGUCGUAUGUACCUAUGUCGGUUUAUAUUGUAUGCACUUAUACUGUAUGUACCUACGUUGGCUUAUAUUGUGCAUAUAUUGUAUGUACCUACCUUGGCUUAUGUUGUACAUGCCUCUGUCGUGCCACUUACGAUCGGAGCUGCCCUGCCCAGGCACGUAGUCACGGUUAGGUAGAGCAGUUAUAAAACUUUAUAGUUCAUCUGUCUUCUAUUGGGGUUUUGGGUACAAAAUUUAUGGACCCGGAGCGGGAAUAGCUCCUAGCCGUCAGAUAGUCACUCGUCGACCGCCUCCCGUCGUCUCUGUCGUCUCGCAGGUCCCCGGGUCCCUACACGUUAUCCUGGAAUCUACCGCUGGACAUCGAAGAGCUGCGGUCAGAAGACGUGUCGAAGCGUCAACGUAGCGUUUCAAGUUUUUCAGCUCUUUUUUAAAUUUAGAAUAAAAAUUCCCCAGCCGUUCAUCGCCAAAGUUUGGAGGCGGACCGUCCCGGGACCGGGGUUUUCGUCAGGCAGGAGGAUUUUUUAGGAGGCUCCCGGGGACCACGUUCCCGAGGAACAACGAUUGCCGGGGCGUAACGGAGCGGUUGAAACGAGAGCGACGGUGAGUUUGCGUGCAAUGUGAAGGAGGUGGUCACGGUGGAUGACUGUUGUUUUCUGUGUGCUAUUUUUGUUUUGGUCUUUCCUCUAACAAUCAAACAAAAUGUAAUGUAGAUAGAAAAAAUGUUAUAUUGUGUUGAUAUGCGUUCGGUUUCUAUUGCCCCGUAUCGUUCCGUGUUUGCAUUUGCCGCCGCAUUUCCACACACAGCUCCGUACAUAAGUCGGAUUUCUACCGGUCAACAUACGGAUUGUAUCUACGCUCCCAUUCGUAUACAUCGUUUCCAUGUGUU
Long non-coding RNA from Vidua chalybeata, 2432 nucleotides. RefSeq lists it as uncharacterized. Lineage: Eukaryota; Metazoa; Chordata; Aves; Passeriformes; Viduidae. The record is from RefSeq and is a predicted model, not a curated record. The transcript is spliced from 7 exons.